CCGGCACGGGUGAGUAACACGUAUGCAAUCCACCUGUAACAGGGGGAUAACCCGGAGAAAUCCGGACUAAUACCCCAUAAUAUGGGCGCUCCGCAUGGAGAGUUCAUUAAAGAGAGCAAUCUUGGUUACAGACGAGCAUGCGCUCCAUUAGCCAGUUGGCGGGGUAACGGCCCACCAAGGCGACGAUGGAUAGGGGUUCUGAGAGGAAGGUCCCCCACAUUGGAACUGAGACACGGUCCAA
RNAcentral lists this ribosomal RNA (241 nucleotides) under uncultured bacterium. RNAcentral describes it as "partial 16S ribosomal RNA". It matches the Rfam family "Bacterial small subunit ribosomal RNA", at positions 100 to 334 of the family's 1533-position model. The record is from RNAcentral.